CAAGGGAAGCAAGCAACUGCAGUCCCUCUAAGCCAAAACUAAUGGUGGCCACUCUCGACGGGCAAGCAUAUUACCAUCAACAAGUUCUGACAUCGGACACCCAAGGGAAGCCCUGCAACGACUGCAAUGUCAAUGCACGUUGCCCGAAGUUCAAUGCCUUGGCCCUCCACUCCGUGAAGUGACCCACAAAAGCAUGGGCCGCUGUCAGCUUGCGCCCCUGUCUUGAUCCGUGUGAGUUUCGUCUUCCAGUUUCCUAAAGUUGCACUUGGGAAAUCUUCUGCUUCUUCGCUUGGCUCUAAAAACGCGGAAUUGAUUAGCAGGAUCUAUGACCGGAUCGCAGCACCUUGGAUGCACGUAAAGGCACCUCUCCACAGCAGAAAACUCGCGACGUGGGCGUAUGCUGAAGUUGCGGGCUUGGAGUGUCCGACUCGUCCAUGUCCUGCUCCAGCUGGUCGUCUAUGGAGUAGCUGUUCGCGUUCUUGUUGUUGUCCGUAUAGGCGUGGUUAAAGAGCAAAUGGUUGGGACGCACUGCAUCCGUUAUAUACUUACUACAUUCCACGGGUUAGGCGGGCAUGGUCAGUACAAUAGCAACAAAGUUAAGGUUAUUGUUUAAUGGGACUACAUUUUGGCAACAAUUCGGUGUAAGUAGAUGAUACGCACACUGACCACCGGAAAACAAUGGCUAAUUUAACAAGGGUAUUUACAAGGAGCAAGAUUUGUCAAAAAUAUACAUGCAUUAAAAGAAUCACUGCUAAAAAGGAA
Molecule: long non-coding RNA, 762 nt
Organism: Drosophila teissieri
Lineage: Eukaryota; Metazoa; Arthropoda; Insecta; Diptera; Drosophilidae
Exons: 3
Source: RefSeq, a predicted model, not a curated record